Molecule: long non-coding RNA, 4087 nt
Organism: Anguilla rostrata (American eel)
Lineage: Eukaryota; Metazoa; Chordata; Actinopteri; Anguilliformes; Anguillidae
Exons: 3
Source: RefSeq, a predicted model, not a curated record
CUCCUGUCAAACUUAUUGGUGAGCGAGUUUGGUUUUUAAAACUCAUUUUUCACGUAUUAAACGUGCCAUCCAGAAGUAAUGACAUUUUCCAUGUAAUUUGUCAAGCGUUUGUGAUUAGAUUAUGCGCAGUCAGUUAGCCAAAUUGAGUUCCUGUCACGUACUGAGGAAACAAAUUGGAAGGAAACUGUACACUGGCCUUAUGUUCAUUUUCUGAUGAGUAAGUACAUAUAGACUUCAUAAAGUGCAGAUAAUGCCUUCACGAACACGCUGUUAAUCAUCUGCAAAGCAUUCGCCUGAUGCAGUGACGGUGUUAUGCAACACUGCAGUGGGCUACAAUACGUUAUACAUUCGACUUGUGAUGCCACCGCUCUACCACAAAUUAAGUUUAUGUUCAGAAAUUUUUGUCACUCAGUGAACCCCUUAGAAGAGUUUGACUGAUGAUUAAGUAAGUUAAACGUGACUUUACACAUUACGUUGAUCCAAUCAACUUUACUAAUAGCCUACCUAUAUCGAAAAAUGCAAUUAAGAUAUUAUGUAAAACUCUGUUUUAUUAAUUUGUAUGUAUAUAUUAAUUUCAAAUGUGACGAAGUCAUGAAUGUAAAAUGAUCCCCCGAUUGGUUUUGCCAAUGUUUCUAACCAUCCAAGAAAACUCUUUGGUGGUCUGUGGGGGAGACGUCUUCUUUCCAACUGCUGCAAGCAUGAGAAAAAAACAUCCCGAAAAAUCUGAAAAACAGAAAGUUACUGCUUUGCUAUUGGUCCGCUGGAUAUGCUUCAACCAAUCACCAGCUGAAUAUGGCGUAACUUCUGCUGACAAUAAACGUGCUUUUAUGAUAAACUACCGAGAGAUCCGGUACAAAACAAUCUUGAAAAUUUGCUGGGUGACUUCUGAACGACCAAAAGUGACAUGAAGGAACAAGUCAAACCCAUCUCCCAAGAUGGCCUGGACUUCGGGAAACCGCAGGGGGCCCGGGGGGCUGUGUGGCUCGGCUCUUCACAGUCAGUGUGAACGGGACCAGCGCUCGGAGCCGGCCCAGGCGGAACACGGCGCACUCCCAAGCGCUCUGCACUAGCGUGACGUUCCUCACCACGAGCCGGAACUCGCCCGCGGGCGCCCGUGCCUCGGGGCCGGAGAACAUCUGUUGACUCUGCGUGUCGAUCCACAGCAGUCUGGUGGACUCCUUCACGUGUGAAACGACACAGACCAGGGAGCCAUCCUCUCCCUCAUUCAGCUCCACGGGCUCGGAGUACACUGCAGGGGCAGACACACACAGUGCUGUGAGUUAACAUAACAUAACAUAAUGUAACACAACACAACACAACACUACACUACACUACACUACACUACACUACCCAACACAACAUAACGACAAGAACAGGCCAUUCAGCCCAACAAUGCUCGCCAUUUUCCGGACUAAAUUAGUGCUCUGAUUACCCACAGACUAGACAGUGUCUAACACUGUAUCAAGCUUGGUCUUGAAAAUCCCCAGAAUUUCUGCCUCUGCUACAUGACCUUGCUGGUUAUUCCAUAUCAUUGACUACUCUUUGCAUGAAAAAAUUCUUCCUAAUUCAUACUACAUUGUAGAUGGUCACAUACCAUAGAUAGUAUGGGUUGCAUGUGGAUGAGAAAACAUCGAUUAUGGAGUAUAUUACACUCUCCAUAGUCAUGUGCAUCAGAUACAUGCAUCAAGUCCCAUACAGUUUUACAUGUGCUAAUACUAGUACCAGUGCAAUAGUUAGUCUAAACCACGGCUGCCCAACCCUGCUCUACCAUCCUGUAGGUUUGGAGAUCUACUGUCCUGUACGUCUUCACUCCAACCCUAACAAAGCACACAUCAUUCAACAGCUAGAGAUCUACUGUCCUGUACGUCUUCACUCCAACACUAACAAAGCACACCUCAUUCAACAGCUAGAGAUCUACUGUCCUGUACGUCUUCACUCCAACACUAACAAAACACACCUCAUUCAACGGCUAGAGAUCAUCUCAUUGAGCUGCUAAGCAGUAGAGUCAAGUGUGCCAAAUUAAGUUUGAAAUGAAAAUCUAUAGGACGGUAGAUCUCCAGGAACAGGGUUGGGCAGCCCUGGUCCAAACACAGUUUGGCAUGCUAAUACGAUUUAAAUUCCACAAAAUUACAUUCCGUUUUUAACGAGCAAACACAUUUUCUGUCUCCGUUCCUUAUUGAAAUGUAGCCAAACAUGAGAGCUCAGGGCUGAGUAGGUCUGCUGCAGAGGAUUUGCUAAAAGAUUAAAUUUCAUUCCAUCUUACUACUUUUUUGUGAAAAGCAAUUUUGCAGUUUUUAAAUAAGCAUAAAAGUGGGGAAUGUAUAAUGGCUGACAUUACCUUUCACUAUAAUUAUUUCAUAAGUGCAUUGCUUGUAAACUUUGCUGCCAUCACAAAUAGUGCAUCGGUAUUGUCCAGAGUCAUUCCAGAGCAGAGGGGAGAUGCUCAGUGAAAAUUUGUUGCCGGACCCACUCUUUACUUCAGAUCGAUUUCCAAAGUGUUCCAGGUCUGAGCCAGACCGUUUGCAGUCUCCUUUAUACCCAGUCUGUCUCCAGCUCCAAAAGCCCUCAAGCGUUGCUGCUGUUGGAGGUUCACAAAAGAGAUGCAACGAGCCGGUCCUGCUGAUUCUGUACACAGGCGUGCUAGUCUUUACACCUGGGAAAAAAUAAUACAUUAGCUCGAUAUGCAUGUAUGUAUGUACAGUAUGUAUGUGCAUAUAAUCACAGUCAAAAUUAUAUUAAAACAUAACAAAGUUGCAUAUGUUUCCGCUUAUAUAAUUAAUUAAAUUGGAAUGGUUAUUUAACUAGUUUUCUGCUUUGUAUAUGUAAUUUGUAAUAUUUAAAUCAAUAUUGUAAUAUUUAAAUCUGUAAUAUGUAAUUCAAUACUGUAUUUACCCAGCUGUAUUUCCAGUUUCACUGCAGUUUCCCCUGUUUCAUUGAUACAGCUGUAAUUGCCUUCAUUCAUCUCCUGGAAGUUUUCCACCAGCAGGUAUGCAGUGCUGUCGACCACUAAUGUCUUGAUGUUACUUGAUGUCUGCUUGAUGACCCAUUUCCACUUCGGAAGAAAAUUUCUCUUUGAUUUGCAACGUAACGUGGCAUCCAAUCCACGCGGUACCUGGAUGACUUCAUCCAGUAGAACAAACAUUAAAAUAGUUUCCACGCAUUCACAAAUAAUUCGGCCAAAUACACAACCAACCAAAUCUUGAAAUCAGAUGGAAAUAUUAUGCACUUCUACACCCGAAAGCUUUUCACAAGAGAUGACCGUUACUCUGAAACAGCCCUGCUAUGUAACCCUUUCGAUUGUCAGAUGUUAACUUACCUUCUGCAAAAACAGGAGUAUAUUCUGGUGUAAGAAACAACAGAAUCCAGCAGCCAAUGGUAAAAUGAAGAGUCAUUGUUCAAUAUUGAAGGUUGCCUCUGAUGGUGUCAGGGAUUACUGCUUAUGAGCAAAGCGGAGUGGAACUCCAUAUCAUGCUUCCUCUCAGCAAGGAGGUGGGUGCAGUGAUAUCAUUUCACCCUGUAAGAUAUAUGUAUAUAUAUAUAUAUAUAUAUAUUUAUACGUCACAGAAGGAAGCUAACCUUAGCGACCAACUGUAGCAUAAUCGCUUCCUUUUCUCACUCAGUUAAGCAAACAAAAAAACUCAAGUCCAGUUAGAAAGAGCCUGCUUGUCAUCAUUUGAUUUCAAAAGCAAAGUUUAAUUUAUUAAAAUGUGCAGUACCCUUCCUUCAGUUAUUGUAUUUCAUUAUUGUAUCUGUAAUUGUAUUUCUUUUUUGGUUCAUAGUUGCUGCUUAAAAUUUUUGAUUUUUAACUUCAUGGGGCCAUGAGGGUGAUUUCAUCUCCAACACAACAUUCAUCAUCGCACAAAGUGCAGUUAGCUCCACCAAGUGUGGAAUGUUCCAUUGAAUAGAACCCGGACCUCCUAUGGCGAGAAGAAAUAAUGAAGUAUAAAGAAAAAAAAAAACAUUUAUGCGUAAACAACAAAAGGAAAUAACGUGAAUCAUAGUCUAAAAUGGCAGGCCACAUUCAAACAUGAGGUGUGAAAUGCAUUAGAGAGCAACACCACACAUAUCCUGCCACAACAAUGGUGCA